UGGGGAAUAUUGCACAAUGGGCGCAAGCCUGAUGCAGCCAUGCCGCGUAUAUGAAGAAGGCCUUCGGGUUGUAAAGUACUUUCAGCGGGGAGGAAGGGAGUAAAGUUAAUACCUUUGCUCAUUGACGUUACCCGCAGAAGAAGCACCGGCUAACUCCGUGCCAGCAGCCGCGGUAAUACGGAGGGUGCAAGCGUUAAUCGGAAUUACUGGGCGUAAAGCGCACGCAGGCGGUUUGUUAAGUCAGAUGUGAAAUCCCCGGGCUCAACCUGGGAACUGCAUCUGAUACUGGCAAGCUUGAGUCUCGUAGAGGGGGGUAGAAUUCCAGGUGUAGCGGUGAAAUGCGUAGAGAUCUGGAGGAAUACCGGUGGCGAAGGCGGCCCCCUGGACGAAGACUGACGCUCAGGUGCGAAAGCGUGGGGAGCAAACA
RNAcentral lists this ribosomal RNA (427 nucleotides) under uncultured bacterium. RNAcentral describes it as "partial 16S ribosomal RNA". It matches the Rfam family "Bacterial small subunit ribosomal RNA", at positions 355 to 774 of the family's 1533-position model. The record is from RNAcentral.